This 301-nucleotide ribosomal RNA is filed under the name uncultured bacterium. RNAcentral describes it as "partial 16S ribosomal RNA". It matches the Rfam family "Bacterial small subunit ribosomal RNA", at positions 509 to 807 of the family's 1533-position model. The record is from RNAcentral.
CAGUCGCCGCGGGAACACGAAGGGGGCUAGCGUUGUUCGGAAUUACUGGGCGUAAAGGGCGCGUAGGCGGCCAUUCAAGUUAGAUGUGAAAGCCCUGGGCUCAACCUAGGAAUUGCAUUUGAUACUGUUUGGCUUGAGUUCGGGAGAGGUGAGUGGAAUUCCCAGUGUAGAGGUGAAAUUCGUAGAUAUUGGGAAGAACACCAGUGGCGAAGGCGGCUCACUGGACCGACACUGACGCUGAGGCGCGAAAGCGUGGGGAGCAAACAGGAUUAGAUACCCGAGUAGUCCCUGUCUCUUAUAC